CACUAGUAAAGCCUUAGAGAGUAUCUACACUGGUAGUAUUCUUCUUUCUUGGUGGAAAAGUACUUGCCACUGUAGAUACUCCCUAAGGCUUUAACAGGAGG
RNAcentral lists this microRNA precursor (101 nucleotides) under Brachypodium distachyon (stiff brome). RNAcentral's name for it is "miR5200b stem-loop (bdi-MIR5200b)". It matches the Rfam family "MIR5200 microRNA precursor family". The record is from miRBase by way of RNAcentral. Lineage: Eukaryota; Viridiplantae; Streptophyta; Magnoliopsida; Poales; Poaceae.